UACGUAGGGUGCGAGCGUUUAAUCGGAAUUACUGGGCGUAAAGCGUGCGCAGGCGGUUUUGUAAGCCAGAUGUGAAAGCCCCCGGGCUUAACCUGGGAAUGGCAUUUGGGACUGCAAGGCUUGAGUGCGGCAGAGGAGACUGGAAUUCCUGGUGUAGCAGUGAAAUGCGUAGAUAUCAGGAGGAAUACCGAUGGCGAAGGCAGGUCUCUGGGCUGACACUGACGCUCAUGCACGAAAGCGUGGGGGAGCAAACAGG
This 256-nucleotide ribosomal RNA is filed under the name uncultured bacterium. Its description in RNAcentral is "partial 16S ribosomal RNA". It matches the Rfam family "Bacterial small subunit ribosomal RNA", at positions 524 to 776 of the family's 1533-position model. The record is from RNAcentral.